This 527-nucleotide long non-coding RNA is filed under the name Setaria viridis. RNAcentral describes it as "long non-coding RNA (SVIR_LNC010260)". The record is from RNAcentral. Lineage: Eukaryota; Viridiplantae; Streptophyta; Magnoliopsida; Poales; Poaceae.
GCGCGUGCGGGCUGUGCGAUUUGCCUCGCAUCUAUAUACAACAACUACUACUACGUACUUGUGUGAUGUGACGAAUGGAUUUGAAUAAAUGGGGCGAACCAGGUGAUCCCCCGGGGAGAGCAUAUACUAUAUAUGCAUGUCGAUCGGUCGGUCUUAUAGUAUUUGCGCUUGAGAUAAAUGGAGAUUACUACAGAGUGAUGAACUACUACUAUACAUAUUAAGUUACUUCUCACUUUUUCCCAGUGUUACCGUGCGUGCAACCUCGUCUUCCUGGCCAAAAAUUACCAUUUCAUUUACCAAAGCAACGUCUUCCUGGCAAAAGAUCAGCUAACGUUAAGCUGUAAAAACUUGACACUGAGCCUGCGCCGUGGCCUUAGCCGGUUCAUGGGACCGGACUUACUGAAACCAGCUUAUCAAUAGGUUCGACCAAUCUUGGCCUUGCAUUGCUUGGUCUCCGCCUGGUGUGAUGCGGUGUUCCAACAAGCUGAGUGAAUCAAUUAUUCAGAGAACUCGAAACUAAAAAAAAA